RNAcentral lists this long non-coding RNA (1489 nucleotides) under Olea europaea (common olive). Its description in RNAcentral is "long non-coding RNA (OEUR_LNC000963)". Lineage: Eukaryota; Viridiplantae; Streptophyta; Magnoliopsida; Lamiales; Oleaceae. The record is from RNAcentral.
CAGAAUAAGCAGCUUACUUAAAGAUAGCACAUAUAAGAUCACAUAUACCUAAAUUACAGUGUGCUAUGUACAGUGUAAGAGAUAUAUGUAAGAGUUACAUGGGAAAUCUAGAUCAAUGACUGAAGUCAAGGCAACCCUAAGAUUCCAGACAACUCUAGGGGUUUCUGGACAUAGGUAUUGCCGAGAGAAGUCACAAAUCUAGAGUUUAAGGCUUGGUUACAAAAAAUCUCACAGUACAGGCUGAUGAAUAUAUGUAACUCGAAUGAUAUGGAACGAACUCACCAAAGAAACCUUGUUAGGGUUUCACGAAAAUAACAAAUUCAUUAGAACCAGUGCAAGAAUCCUUGAAUCUACCAACAUCGACGCCAAGAACUACCGUCAACUUGCUCUGAUACCACUGUUACGGCAAGUUCAAAUUAUUAGCCCACUUCAAUCAACAAAAAUAAUAAACUACAGUAAAGGGAAUGAAAGAAAAAACGCAGAAAACACAAGAAAGAACACAGUAUUUUCGCCCUAAGGCAAGAGGUUCGGAAUCGGAGUCCCUAAUCCCCUUUUGAGCUUCCACCACCGGAAGAAACCACUAUAAUAAUCGGAAUCAAUAAAGGUACAGUUCACAGUUCAUGGCACUUAGACGAAAUCACACCAAGAUUUCGUAUACAACAAACCCACAGAAUGUACAUCGAACAUCCACUCAAGGAUUGAACCAUAUAAACCACUCAAGAUCUACAAUAGGCUGUAACAAAAUCGAUCUACAAAGGGCUUUUGAUUAAGUGCUUAAAAUGAAACGAAGAAGCAGUGAACUCGAGAGAACAGAGGGCUGCAGAGAGAGAAGAGAGAGGCUGAGUAAAAAUGAAAUCCAUCAGCCGUCCAAACCCUAGAAGCCAGUACAAAUAGAAGCAACUAGAAGGUCGGUCAUCCACGGUGAGGAGAGUGACACUUGGCAAGAUCAGGAGCGUCUGUUCUUAUUAAUAAAAACGGGUUUUAAACAAAACACGUUUUUAUCACAAUCCGAUCAGCCCAUUUAGCCAAGUUCAAGUGACAAGUGAUCCAAUCCACAAGCCCAUAAGUAUUAAUCCAGCCCAAUCAUCAUUGUGCCACUAUAUAAUUUUUCUCUACAAACACAAUCAAUUUUUUCAUUAAAUCACGUACCAAUGCAUAUUGUGUCAUUUUCUGGCACACAAAUAUUAUUCAAUUCGUCACGCGUGGCUGUCAAAUUUCGCUUGGAGAGUUGGAUAUUCACAUACCUGACAAAUCAAACCAAUAUAAACCUGCCUCUAAAUUUUCUGAGGAAACUUCGUGGAAGCUCACUCAUGGCUUCUGCACUCUCCACCCAUAUAUAUCUCUCAUUUCUUCUUCUUCAUUUCACCCUCAAACGCUUAUCUCAUUUUCACCAUGAAACUCAUCAAAAAUCUUCCCAAAAAGCUCUUGAUGAGAAAGAAAUCUCGCUCCAUUCCUGGAUUCGAAUCUGACCCUGCUUCCUUCAGUUCCU